AUUGAACGCUGGCGGCGUGCCUUACACAUGCAAGUCGGACGAGUGGCGGACGGGUGAGUAACGUAUCGGAACGUACCUGGUGAUGGGGGAUAACUGCUCGAAACGGUAGCUAAUACCGCAUACUAUUCGAGCUGCCGAUGUGUGAUUAGCUGGUUGGUGGGGUAACGGCCCACCAAGGCGACGAUCAGUAGCGGGUCUGAGAGGAUGAACCGCCACACUGGGACUGAGACACGGCCCAGACUCCUACGGGAGGCAGCAGUGGGGAAUUUUGGACAAUGGGCGCAAGCCUGAUCCAGCCAUGCCGCGUGUCUGAAGAAGGCCUUCGGGUUGUAAAGUACUUUUGUCAGGGAAGCGGUACCUGAAGAAUAAGCACCGGCUAACUACGUGCCAGCAGCCGCGGUAAUAC
Molecule: ribosomal RNA, 406 nt
Filed under: uncultured bacterium
Lineage: Bacteria
Description: partial 16S ribosomal RNA
Rfam family: Bacterial small subunit ribosomal RNA
Source: RNAcentral